Molecule: non-coding RNA, 1757 nt
Organism: Arachis ipaensis
Lineage: Eukaryota; Viridiplantae; Streptophyta; Magnoliopsida; Fabales; Fabaceae
Source: RefSeq, a predicted model, not a curated record
GUUUUGUACAUUCUUUUCAUCAGGUCAGAAUCAUUUAUAACUUCCACUAAGCGAACCCGACCCGGAAAAGAUUCUACCCAUCCCCAUCAGAGACACACCCAGUCGGGCAGUCCCCACCCCGGUUCUAAUCCAGCGCCAUGGUCGCUGAUGAGAGAUGAAUAUCCUCCUUGAGGCGCCGUUCUGUUUCCGACGAAGCCAUUUCCGCUGCGACGCCGUUCCGCGCCUAGGGGCUGCUCGUGGAUUUCCACCAUCUUCAAAUUCAGUUUGAUUCAGGUAACGGUAGACUCAACAAUCUUUCACCUUUGGCUACUCUGGAAAGUCAGAAUGUCAAGUUCAAGGUUUUUAUUCAGUAAUGGCAUUCUAUCAAACACCUUAGAUACACCACCAGUCAAACUCUUCUUAGAAGCACAACCAGGUGCUUACACAACAUCACGUACUCAUAACAAUGCCUCAUGCUUGUUGUUUUGGGAGAGACACAUGAAAAGACUUUCAGAAUCCAUACGAAUUCUAUCAACGCUGGCUCCUCAUCUUCUAUUUAAAUCUAAUAAUUCUGCGAUUGUGCCACCAUCAUCGACAACCUUGCCAAUAUGGCAACCCACUCUACAAAUGCUUGUUGAUGAUUCGAUGCAAAAGGUUAUGCCAAUUGCAAUAAAGGAGAGGGUUGAUUGUCGAGAGCUGGCUGUUACAACUCUUGUGAGUGGUAAUUUGGAGGAAUUGAAUGCAUGUGAGACUAUAGAUGAGGACAGAGUUUGUAAAAUUCUUGAUGUGCAUGUGCAUAUUGAGACUUAUGUGCCUCCUGCAUUUGGUAUCUUGGGAAAUGGUGCACAUUUGGCUUUGGCAGGCUAUGGGAGGCAUGUUGCAAUUGCAAAAUAUUCAGAUUGGGUAAGGAUAAGGAAGAGUCUGGAAAAGCUCAGGCCUCCUUCAGUUACAGAACUGUUGCUAUCUAAUGAUGGUAAUCACAUACUUGAAGGUUGUGUCACAAAUUUUUUUGUUGUUUGUUGCAAGGGUCAGGAUUCAGAUGAUAAGGCCAAUGGAAACAAAUAUCCUUUUGAAGUACAGACUGCUCCUUUAAGUGACGGUGUUCUUCCAGGAAUAAUACGCCAAGUAGUAAUUGAAGUAUGCAGGAGUGAAGGAAUCCCAAUUCGAGAAGUUGCUCCAUCAUGGUUGGAACAUGGAAUCUGGGAGGAGGCAUUCAUCACAAGUGGCUUGAGGAUUUUGCAACAUGUCGAAAGUAUUCAGGUUCCAACAGAAUGGCAAUCAGUCCAUUCCAAAACGUGGAAGGAUAUAUCAUGGACAAAGAAGCAAUUUCAGGGUAGAUCAGGGAUGAUCACAACUAUAAUUCAAGAAAAGAUUAUGGAAAAAGCAACCCUUGAAGGAUAUUCAAUUAGCAACAUAUGCAAAGGGUGAAGAUCCAUUGAAAUGAAGAAGCUGGCCCUUCUAUUCUUCACCUCAUUAGUUUGUCCUAGUGCUGAUAAAUAAUGUAUUGUAUUCUUGGUUCAAUAGGCAGAAGAAAAAAUGUGAUCUGAUAUCCAUUUUAUUGCUCGGAACAGAAUAAUGAAUAUAUAGAAUUCUGAAAUUGAUAUUUUGGGCCUCAUGGAAAGAGAACAAAACAAAACGAAACGAAACAACAAAAAGCCACCGCUCAGUUCACUCAUCCGCCAGUGUAUUUUCUUUCUAUUACUCUCUGGUUGUGAUUCGCUCUUACACUAUUUUCUUACAUAUUUAUUCCACCAAUGCUAUCCAUAACUGCAAUUCGU